RNAcentral lists this long non-coding RNA (1323 nucleotides) under Dromaius novaehollandiae (emu). RNAcentral describes it as "lncRNA (ENSDNVG00000006573.1)". The record is from RNAcentral. Lineage: Eukaryota; Metazoa; Chordata; Aves; Casuariiformes; Dromaiidae.
CUCACGGAGACGUACGCUGCUGCCGUCCCUGCGCUCGCUGCUGGGCUGCUUUGGUUCGGUUUCCACAGACCUUCAGUUCAUGCUCCACCACCCAUUUCUCUCGUUCCUUGUCCUCUUGGCUACGGAGUGAUUCRUAUUCACAGGGAAAGUAUUUUAGUCAGCCAUACAUUUCUAACCGUAGAUGCAGUGUAAAAACUGGAAGUACCUGAAAAGUAAGAACUGGGUAUGCACGUGGGGGACAUUUAGCCAGGUCACAUAAAAACUACUGAAGUGAACAGCGAAGUUUGGUGCCUAAUGUGAAAAAGUCUGCAGAUGCUCGAGUUAGCUGAGUAGUCUCAGCUAUGCUCCAUCCACAGAUUUUGGAGGCAAUGAGUCUCCUCCUUCUCCAAAUCAGGGUAGCUCCUCCAGUUGCUACUGCUGGUCUCUGCUAUACAGACACCCCAGCCUUUUUACUGCUAGAAAGAGUCUUUUAAAUAGCAUGUUGCAAGUUAAGCGUUGCAAAACAGCGAUGUAAAGUAACUGUGUUGUGUAAUGGCGGUCCUCGCUCCUCCUGAGCGGAGAAGGAAGGAGGGCACAGAGGGGCCCCGUCAGGUGGGACGGUGGUGGGACGGGUCGAGGCUGGGGUGUCUCAUACCGCCAGAGCCUCGUCCCGAGGGAGACGUCCGAUAUCACGUCCGAUCUCGAUCUUCUCCCUGCCUGCUCCCUGCUCCGCGGCGGCGGUCGCAAACGCCCGGCUCCUUGCUCGCGGUCACCCCGCUCGCAGCACGGCACGGCGCAGAGCCUGGACGCUACGGGCGGCCUCCGGCGCCGGGAACCUCAGCUCCCCAARCUCCCUGCGUUUAACGGCGCCGUGCGCGGCUCUGCCGCCGCUUUCUCGCUGCCUUGGGGUCUCGGCUCCCAAAGCCACCUCGCCGCUUUCUGCACGUCGUUUUCUGACGCGCCGGGCGUUUCGCACGGCACAUCUGCAGGUAACGCUGCUUUGCAGCAACGACUGCACGUGCAGGCGCCUUCACGCCGAGCUGGAAUACGCGCCGCGCCGCCGCCGCGCAGCUUUUAUGGUGUGCCGACCGCGCCGGCCACUUCCUGCUUCUCGCUGCGUUGACGUUUUUUCUCGAGAAAGAGGCAGCACGUCGCAGCCGCCGCGCCGCAGACGAAGGACGUUGGUGGGGGUAUUAAUUACGCCGGUGGCAGCUUGAACGAGCGUUACACGGCGAUUACUGCUUCCCCGAUUCCCAUCGCCACCRAACGUCGCCCCUGAUGCUGCCAGCGCCCAUGUUAACGCCGAACCGUCGUCUCCCCCCGAGGUCCAGCGAAGGCUCCAGG